AUAUGUCUGUUCAAAAUGUUAUUUGAUGUACAUGUAAUUGUAUGUAACUUAUAUUGCAGUAUCUUCAACUGGAGGAAAUGGGGAAUGAAUGCGGGACACAUUGAUAAGUAGAUUAUCUUGGGAAAUUUCUUCGCCCAUCUUCUUUGCUGACUUAGUUGGGAAAGCCAAGAUCAGAGAUGGAAAAGCCAACAAAAGAGUUUGAAAAAGCAAAGGUUCGGAAAAGCCAACACUGUAGAUUUCAUCCAUUUUAUUCAUUCUCAUUCAGUGUACAUUGUUAUCAAAUUUCACUGUUAACAGUAGAAAACAUUAAAUAAUACGUAAUAAAAUAUACAGUAACAACAUAUAUAGAAAAGUUGCAUGAAAAAGUAUCAAUGCAAACAUAUAAAAUCUCUGGCGCGAUGAUAGUUUGGAGGGCUGUGAAACAAGAAUGCCGUGUGUAAAACUUUGGGAAUCCUGAACCAACAUUCUAGUUACUAAAAGGCGAUUGUUAAGUCCAAAAUGUCAUUUGCUCUUCAUUAGUUCCUAAAUGCUAAUUGCCAAAUGCUAAUUGAUAAAUGUCCAUGGCUUAAUUUCGAUGGCCAAAUGAUAAGGUUAACUGCUUCUUGCCGAUUUCAGAUUGCUAUUAAUUGCCAUUCAUUCACAGUCAGCAGAUAUGUAUACUUAUAAUAGAGAUUCAUAACUAAAAUUCAUGUAAUAAAUACAUUAUAUAUUACAUAGAUGUUAACGGCAAACUAACAUCUUAAUGAUAAAAGGCAAUGACUUCAGGUUUUCCGUCGUCAACUUCCCA
Ostrea edulis (European flat oyster) is the source of this 787-nucleotide long non-coding RNA. RefSeq lists it as uncharacterized. NCBI's taxonomy places the organism in Eukaryota, Metazoa, Mollusca, Bivalvia, Ostreida, Ostreidae. The record is from RefSeq and is a predicted model, not a curated record. The transcript is spliced from 2 exons.